RNAcentral lists this long non-coding RNA (1020 nucleotides) under Felis catus (domestic cat). RNAcentral's name for it is "lncRNA (ENSFCAG00000043008.2)". The record is from RNAcentral. Lineage: Eukaryota; Metazoa; Chordata; Mammalia; Carnivora; Felidae.
GAUUACAGAAAUCUAAAGCCAAUGAUAAUAUAGUCAGAAAAGUGAUUUUGAUAGAUUUAUUUUAAUUAGAUUAUACAUUUCUGGAAGAGAUGUGUGUGUGUGUGUGUGUGUGUGUGUGUGUACACCAAAACACAUAUUAUAUAUUCUAAAUUUUAUCACUAAUACUACCUUUGCUUUACUUUUUUUGCCUUUUCUUUAUUAGCUAAGAACACUUUCCUUUAAUUUCAGAUCUCAACUCUGUACUCUAAAGUGUACAUCCUACACACUUAAACCACUAAGUUGGGUGCUCUAGAAAUUCUAUGAAGCCUAUAUUUACCUUAGAACAUUUCUUCACUCAUUCAAAUAAGAAUGGACACAUGCAAAUUAAGAUGUAACAUCAAAGCUACUCAGCAUCUGGAAAAACCUUGUCUAUAAAAUAAUGUAUACAACCGUAUGAUACGAUUCCCGAAGAUGAAAUGCCCAUGUAGCACGCAUGAGCAAAAGGCCCAGAGGACCACAGCUAUGGUGGUCCUGAAGUGGAUGACCCACCAAAUCAACACCUGAUGCUACUUACCUCAAGACUUUGUCUCAUGGUAGUGACUUAAGGAGUGAUCCCUAAGAAGUCAACUCUAGGAUGGGAUUCUAGAGUUGAACAUACAGUAACCAGCUUGUAUGAGGAUUUCAUCUCAAAUAGUAGGUGGAAAAAUGAUAGUCCCUGUGUUCUGUAAAACUGCAGUUGUGAAGGCUUUCACCUCCAGUGAAUUCUGCUAAACUACAGUUGGAAAGGGUGAACUGGCAUUUGACAUUUGGUAUGACAUCUCUUGCCUUUGAGAAGCACAGUUAUUAUGGUAGUGAUAUUGAGAAAUUAGAUAGGUAUAAUUGAGCAACAUUGAUACUUUGAAAAGAGAAAAUAGCAGACACAUGGCGAUCAAAUAUUAAUUCAAAUAAUUCAGAAACAAAUUUAAACAACAACAAAAAAAAACAUUUGAACAUUUAAAAAAUUAUUUUCUCUGGGUGCCUGGGUGGUUCAGUCAGUUAAGU